RNAcentral lists this ribosomal RNA (622 nucleotides) under Akkermansia muciniphila. RNAcentral describes it as "bacterial SSU rRNA". It matches the Rfam family "Bacterial small subunit ribosomal RNA", at positions 37 to 680 of the family's 1533-position model. The record is from RNAcentral. Lineage: Bacteria; Pseudomonadati; Verrucomicrobiota; Verrucomicrobiia; Verrucomicrobiales; Akkermansiaceae.
UGGCGGCGUGGAUAAGACAUGCAAGUCGAACGAGAGAAUUGCUAGCUUGCUAAUAAUUCUCUAGUGGCGCACGGGUGAGUAACACGUGAGUAACCUGCCCCCGAGAGCGGGAUAGCCCUGGGAAACUGGGAUUAAUACCGCAUAGUAUCGAAAGAUUAAAGCAGCAAUGCGCUUGGGGAUGGGCUCGCGGCCUAUUAGUUAGUUGGUGAGGUAACGGCUCACCAAGGCGAUGACGGGUAGCCGGUCUGAGAGGAUGUCCGGCCACACUGGAACUGAGACACGGUCCAGACACCUACGGGUGGCAGCAGUCGAGAAUCAUUCACAAUGGGGGAAACCCUGAUGGUGUGACGCCGCGUGGGGGAAUGAAGGUCUUCGGAUUGUAAACCCCUGUCAUGUGGGAGCAAAUUAAAAGGAUAGUACCACAAGAGGAAGAGACGGCUAACUCUGUGCCAGCAGCCGCGGUAAUACAGAGGUCUCAAGCGUUGUUCGGAAUCACUGGGCGUAAAGCGUGCGUAGGCUGUUUCGUAAGUCGUGUGUGAAAGGCGCGGGCUCAACCCGCGGACGGCACAUGAUACUGCGAGACUAGAGUAAUGGAGGGGGAACCGGAAUUCACGGUGUAGCA